This 3548-nucleotide long non-coding RNA is filed under the name Zea mays. Its description in RNAcentral is "long non-coding RNA (ZMAY_LNC000624)". The record is from RNAcentral. Lineage: Eukaryota; Viridiplantae; Streptophyta; Magnoliopsida; Poales; Poaceae.
UACCCAAAACAAGUACUCAAAAAAAAGAAUCAAAACAAGUACUUGUACCCAAAACAAGUGAAGUCGCAUACAUACUGGCGGUAUACUCGCACGAGCCCCGGGGCAACCCCGGAGGCGCUUGGACAAGUCCCGGCGGGGGUCGAAUGACGUCAUCCGGCUCCGACCUUGUGCCUGGACUUCUUGGCUAGGUGGCACCGUCCGGGCGCCCCUUGUUCGCUGGCGACCGGGCGGUCGGUCGGUCGGCUCCUCUGCAUGGACAAAAUCUUUCCAGGCGACGGUCAUUCUUUUCUUCCUUCGGGGAUCGGGAACCUAUGCCAUACUUUCUAUUAAUCUGCCUGAGAAUACAGCAUCGAUAUGACUAGUGCAUGUGCAGAAGCUUUCUAUUGCUUACUCAGAAAUAAACACAGAAGCUUUUCUGCAUAACCGUUUGCGAAUUGCUAUCCACGUCCAGUUUAGUGUCUGUAUUUUGUGAUUUCGUUUUGAUUUGCCAAUUGUAGCAUAAUUUUUUGGAACGGUCGAUGUCUGUGUGUGGUUGGUGUGGACAGUUAUCAGAGCCAGCGUUCCCAAGCUGAUUCUGGGCGACGGCUUUGAGAUCGUCCAGACCCUGAUCGUGGACAUUGAGCCAGACCAGCACGUGAAGCGUGCGAUGAACGAGAUCGGUCUGAGCUUUUUACUCUGUUCUCGAUUAUACACUGGCAUUGCUAGCUGAUACGCUUGUGGCUGGUGUGUGUUGCCGUGCAGCUGCGGGCGAACGAGAAGGCGGCGCGCAGAGGGGGAGGCGGAGGCCAAGUUAAACACACUCAUGUUCUGAUAAUAAAAGCGGACAACAAACCAAAACCUACUGAUGUUCUGAUAAUAAAAAGCGGACAAGUUAAACACACCAAUACAUGAGGACUAAGGCCGCCGCCUAUAAAUUGAACUUGGAAAGGUUGUCGUACUCACUAUCUGAGAUAGCAGUCUUCGCUAACUAAGCAUGAUGCCAGCAUACUUGACCUCGAUCGGCAGCCUCCUCCUACAACCACCAGGCAUAGCAUUGAGUCAAGUCUAUUCACCUGCAGAUGAUAAAACAAACCAAGACUAGUGAUAUUCUCUGUUACCAGGAAAAGGAACUAAUGGCGUGUUUGGUUAGAGGAAUAAGGUAGUCUAUCAUCUUCUCACUCCUCACUUUAUUUAUUUGGUUUGUGGAAUAGAAUAAGUUGAUCCAUCACAUUUCAUUCAUUAUAGGUGUCACACCCAGAUUUAAGGGCAAACCCGGGUGCGUCUCAAAUGUGUGCUAGGAUAAAGUCUCACACAUAUGAUGACUCAUGGUACAGAAAUCAAUGUCACAUCUUUAUUAUAUAAUAGGAAUUCUGUAUAAAAUAACUAAAUAAAUUACACCAUAUGACGAUGACGAUCCUCCAUAACCAUAGUUGACUGGGAGACGACGGCCUAGACCUCUCCGUACUCAUCGCAGCAUCCUUCAUACUCCUCCAGCGGUACCUGUUUUUGACCUGGUGUGAGUUUAGCAAGAGUGAGCUCACAUACGUUCAUCGCUCAGCAAGUUAUGGGGAAUAAUGUGCAUAAGCUCGUCCAAAAAGCCAUCGCAGCAUGAUUGACCCGAGAACCUUCCUAUACCGGCAACUCCUCUACCGCCCUUACCCCUUUCGAGUAAGGUAGUCCUCCACUAGCUUUCCUAAUUAGUCAGCCAAGGGCGUCCCAUUCCACCCUUGUGGUAGCACUGUUAUCUCAAGUUAAGCUCCAUGUUCCAAUUAACAAAGUUAUCUUAUCAUGCAUAAGAGUAAACCAACAAUAAUAAAUCAUAUUGGAACAUGAUCAUAAAUCAUAAGUAUCAUUAAUCCCAAACCAGGUAGAGCAAUAGCAAUAUUACCUAAUAAUUCAUUUGUAUGCAAGGUGUAGGGUAAGCAAAACUAGGUAACCUAUUAGGUCCCGUCAGCUUAACCUAACUGUGUCACGGUGAUUAAUAUAACAUCAUUAGGUAAAAGAAUGUGAUCAAGGACACAACUUGCUUUUUUGGUAUAAUUCCAGGUACUUCUCCAAAGUUGGUGCUUUAGGUCUCCUCGUUACCUUGCUUCUAUUCGUAGCAAUACAUACAAAUAAAAAUAAUAAUGGAUAUGAUAACAUUAAACCAAAACAUGGAAAUAAAUCACACAAUAAUAUUCUACGCGUCGCUACGAGAUCGUAGAUUUGAGAAUCACUAAAUUCGGAGUUACGGUUGAAAAGAUAUAGUUCUCGAAGAUCUAUGUGAUUAACUAUGAAAAACUAGAUUCUUAGUUGAUUUUAUAAAUCAUGUGAGAUAUAUAUUAAAUAAAUAACUAAUUCAACUUUAAUAUAAGUUAUAUCUUGGUUAGAGAUCAUCUUCUAGUCAAAUUAUAAUUAUAGACAGGUUACUUUGAUUAGAAAGAUUAAUCUACUAUACAUAGGGUUAAUAAAAAUCUAACUAUAAAAGUAUGUGAUAUUAAAAAAUAAUGCUUGUCACUGCGUAGGCAAUUUUAUUACGAAACUAACGCAACUUGAACGGACUAAAAUGGACUUAGAAUGAAUAAGAUAUGGAUUUCCUAAGUUUUACAAUUAUUUUUACAGCAGAAAUCUAUUUUCCAGAUUUAAUCCCAUAUAUUAUAUUAGACCAGGGACCGCGGGCACUAUUUUGAACAGACUCAGGGUCGAUUUCAUGAAGUUCGGGACCUGAAUGUAAUGGUCUUUCUAUUACUAUGGAGGGCGGGUUUAUUUAUAAAGACCAGAGGGGCUCUUUAGCAAAAUCGACGCGACGAAGGGGUACGCAUGUUUUCUGGCCGUUGGAUCAAACACGCACGGUCCCGAUUAGAUCAACCGAGGCGCGAACCGGUGCGUAAUGUGAGCCGUCCGAUCGGGGAUAAACGAUUAAGGAUUUAAAAUCCUUCGAUCUGACCCUGCCCGUCCAUCCUUCGAUCAGCAGUCCGGAUUGAAUCGGUGAAGGGGGGUAUUGGUGAUUUAAUCCCUAUCGUUCAUCAAGCGGUCAACGGGCAGGGCGUGUCUUCCUCAACCAACGACCCCCACAGCGGCGAGGAACACCACCGCGGCGGCGCCAUCGCCGUGGCACGACAACCCGACGCUCCCAGCGCCCGAACUCGUAACCGACCGGCGAAACACGCAGAGCAGGACAAAGCGAACUGUAUGGGGAAAACUUACCGGAGUUUAUGGCGCAGAGGGGCCCGACCACGCGGUGUGGCGGCACGAGGAUUCCGGCGAGAAAUUCCGGUGGUCCGGAGCGCAAGUCCGCCCAGGCGAAGUCACAGUCAUGUUCAGCGCGGCCUGGCGACGCCCCUUGACUCGGUCCCGAGGCCCCAAUGACCGCAUGGACACGCUCUGCCCAUGCGCGGCGGCGCUCUCUCCCUUCUCUCGGUUUCUCUCUUCUCGCCGCGGUGUCUUCAACGAUGGUGCUUCGGUUUCGGUGAAUAAGGGUCGCGACUGGUAUAUAAAGGCACCACCCGGCCCUUGGCCAGCUGGCAAGGCGGCCACGAGGUGGUUGCGGAUGGCGGCGGAUUUCCCAGGUGGAUCGCGAGCGCUCGAAC